This 253-nucleotide ribosomal RNA is filed under the name uncultured bacterium. RNAcentral's name for it is "partial 16S ribosomal RNA". It matches the Rfam family "Bacterial small subunit ribosomal RNA", at positions 524 to 776 of the family's 1533-position model. The record is from RNAcentral.
UACGAAGGGGGCUAGCGUUGCUCGGAAUCACUGGACGUAAAGCGCACGUAGGCGGACUCUUAAGUCGGUGGUGAAAUCCUGGAGCUCAACUCCAGAACUGCCUUCGAUACUGGGAGUCUCGAGUUCGGGAGAGGUGAGUGGAACUGCGAGUGUAGAGGUGAAAUUCGUAGAUAUUCGCAAGAACACCAGUGGCGAAGGCGGCUCACUGGCCCGGUACUGACGCUGAGGUGCGAAAGCGUGGGGAGCAAACAGG